UUUAGGUCUGACAUAACUCGUACGAAAGGACGGGCUAAUAUCAGAUAAACAUAACUUGGCAUCAAGUAAUUGUCAAAGCUUCGGCGCCCAAAGAUGAAGUCUGCGGACCCAUUAGGUAGUUGGUGGAUUAACAGCCCACCAAGCCAACGAUGGAUAGCUGGUCUGAGAGGAUGAUCAGCCACACUGGAACUGAGACACGGUCCAGACUCCUACGGGAGGCAGCAGUAAGGAAUAUUGCUCAAUGGGAGAAAUCCUGAAGCAGCAACGCCGCGUGAAGGAAGAAGGGUCUUCGACUUGUAAACUUCUGUAGAAGAGGAAAAUACUCCGAUAUACUCGGAAUUGAUUGUACUCUUAAAGUAAGCCCGGCUAACUACGUG
RNAcentral lists this ribosomal RNA (377 nucleotides) under uncultured bacterium. RNAcentral describes it as "bacterial SSU rRNA". It matches the Rfam family "Bacterial small subunit ribosomal RNA", at positions 131 to 507 of the family's 1533-position model. The record is from RNAcentral.